UGGGGAAGUGAAACAUCUCAGUACCCACAGGAAGAGAAAGCAAACGCGAUUCCGUUAGUAGUGGCGAGCGAAAGCGGAUGAGGCUAAACCGUUAAUGUGCCAAGCCGGCAGGCAUUGCAUUAGCGGUGUUGAGGGACCAAACAGGAUUAACUGCCGUUGAUCUAGCAAGUCAGAAAGUAAAGAUGUAGGUGAACGACGUGGGAAAGUCGGGCGAAGUAGGUGAGACCCCUGUAACCGAAACAUCUUUAUCUUGCGAUUGGUAUCCCAAGUAAUACCGGACUCGUGAAAUCCGGUAUGAAUCCGGCGGGACCACCCGCUAAGCCUAAAUAUUCUCUGGUGACCGAUAGUGAACGAGUACCGUGAGGGAAAGGUGAAAAGAACCCCGCAAGGGGAGUGAAAUAGAAUCUGAAACCGUCUGCAUACAAGCCGUUGGAGCUACUUUAAGUAGUGACAGCGUGCCUUUUGAAGAAUGAGUCUACGAGUUAGUGUCAUGUGGCGAGGUUAACCGGUCGACGGGGAGCCGUAGCGAAAGCGAGUCUGAAUAGGGCGAGAUAGUCGCAUGAUCUAAACCCGAAGCGAGGUGAUCUAGGCAUGGUCAGGUUGAAGCGUGGGUAAGACUGCGUGGAGGACCGAACCCACAAACGUUGAAAAGUUUGGGGAUGAACUGUGGUUAGGGGUGAAAGGCCAAUCAAACUUCGUGAUAGCUGGUUCUCUCCGAAAUGCAUUUAGGUGCAGCGUUACGUGUUUCUUACUGGAGGUAGAGCUACUGGAUGGCCGAGGGGACCUACAAGUUUACCAACGUCAGCCAAACUCCGAAUGCCAGUAAGUGAGAACGUAGCAGUGAGACAGUGGGGGAUAAGCUUCAUUGUCGAGAGGGAAACAACCCAGAACAGCAACUAAGGUCCCAAAGCGUGUGCUAAGUGGAAAAGGAUGUGAAGUCGCAUAGACAACCAGGAUGUUGGCUUAGAAGCAGCCACCAUUAAAAGAGUGCGUAAUAGCUCACUGGUCAAGUGAUUUCGCGCCGACAAUGUAACGGGGCUCAAGCACAGCACCGAAGUUCUGUCAUUCACACACUAUCCCGGUCGCAAGAUCCAGGAGUGUGGAUGGGUAGGAGAGCGUUGUGUAACUAGUGAAGCGGCGGAGGAAUCCAGCCGUGGAAGUUACACAAGUGAGAAUGUAGACAUGAGUAGCGAAAGACGGGUGAGAAACCCGUCCACCGAAUGACCAAGGGUUCCUGAGCCAGGCUAAUCCGCUCAGGGUAAGUCGGGUCCUAAGGCGAGGCCGACAGGCGUAGUCGAUGGACAACUGGUUGAUAUUCCAGUACCCACAAUAAACCGACCGUGACGAAUCAAUAAUGCUAAGUGUUUGAAGUUGGCUAGCAAUAGCUGAUGGAGCGCACGACCCAAGUUGGUAGUAGUCAAGCAAUGGAGAGACGCAGGAAGGUAGUCCAACCCAGGCGAUGGUUGACCUGGGGUAAGAGUGUAGGAGGUUCUGUAGGCAAAUCCGCAGAACAAUCUCUGAGACUUAAUGCCGAGCCGUAAGGCGAAGUGGAUGAUCCUAUGCUGCCAAGAAAAUCUUUAAACGGCGGUGGUAACUAUAACCAUCCUAAGGUAGCGAAAUUCCUUGUCGGGUAAGUUCCGACCUGCACGAAUGGCGUAACGACUUGAGCGCUGUCUCCACCAUGAACUCGGCGAAAUUGCAGUACGAGUAAAGAUGCUCGUUACGCGCGGAAAGACGGAAAGACCCCGGGACCUUUACUAUAUCUUGAUAUUGGUACUCGGAACGUUCUGUGUAGCAUAGGUGGGAGACUUUGAAGCGGCACGCCAGUGUUCGUGGAGUCAAAAAUUGAAAUACCACUCUGAACGUUUUGAGUUUCUAACCUCGGCCCAUUAUCUGGGUCAGGGACAGUGUCUGGUGGGUAGUUUAACUGGGGCGGUUGCCUCCCAAAAAGUAACGGAGGCGCUCAAAGGUUCCCUCAGCCUGGUUGGUAAUCAGGUGUCGAGUGUAAGUGCACAAGGGAGCUUAACUGUGAGACAGACAUGUCAAGCAGGUGCGAAAGCAGGAACUAGUGAUCCGGCGGUGGCUUGUGGAAGCGCCGUCGCUCAACGGAUAAAAGGUACCCCGGGGAU
RNAcentral lists this ribosomal RNA (2129 nucleotides) under Candidatus Allofontibacter communis. RNAcentral's name for it is "partial 23S ribosomal RNA". It matches the Rfam family "Bacterial large subunit ribosomal RNA", at positions 186 to 2475 of the family's 2925-position model. The record is from RNAcentral. Lineage: Bacteria; Pseudomonadati; Pseudomonadota; Alphaproteobacteria; Candidatus Pelagibacterales; Candidatus Pelagibacteraceae.